This 1019-nucleotide long non-coding RNA is filed under the name Triticum aestivum (bread wheat). RNAcentral's name for it is "long non-coding RNA (TAES_LNC010680)". Lineage: Eukaryota; Viridiplantae; Streptophyta; Magnoliopsida; Poales; Poaceae. The record is from RNAcentral.
UUAUAUUAUGAUAUUCAUAUAAAUCAGACAAACUUUGGGCUAUUGUGCAAUAGCAUGGUUCAGUUUAUGUGCUUCAAAUCACACGGGUCGGAGAAACAAACUGACUCUCCUUUUGGCUAUUGUGCAGUAGCACGGUUCAGUUCAACCGCUUGACCAAAACAACUCCAAAUCAGUAUGACUCGAGCAGUUUGAAUGAUGUACCUUGGCUACACGGGCGGAUGUAAUUCCGAUGAAGUUGGCAGUACGGAGAAAUUCCGGCUAGGUUGGCAGAACAGUGAGAUUUCCAUGACUUCGGCAGAAUGGCAAGAUACCAAUGUCGAGCACGGAUGAAACGACGCAAUUGGGUUGGGGCUUCAGUCGAGGGAGUGGAUGUGUAUUUAUAUGUUUUGGGACUCUAGAAUGGCCAAAUCAGUCCCUGUCGGACACCCCAUGGGCGCACGAAGGAUUGGAUCAAGACAAACACAUUACAAUCCAGUAUGUGGAAGGCAAAGCAUAGAGAUAAAAACUACCAAUACAUAUGUUUUGAAAGUGAGUCACUAAUAAGAUCAGAAAACCAGGAUGCUUCUGGUAGAAUAUAUAGGCCUUUCAUUGCUACACCUGCCAUUAUAUAGAAUGAGAAAGUAAGUCAUAUCAGUAAGUGUGGUCUGCCACAGAGCAUAAAGGAACUCAGUUGAUUAAGUAGCUAUAUAUGCACAUGUUAAAAAAAUCUAGGCUACAAAGCCAAAAAAAAUAGGAAGUAAUCUGAUAUUAUUGCUCCAGUUUAUACAUGAAGCCCCAUUGUUCAGUUUAGAUGGCAAUUUAAAGCAAGAGCACCAACUCAUACUAUGGAAACCUAAAGAGCAAACAACAAAAUUACCCAUUUACAUAAUCUAACAAACUUUAAGGUAGCAGUCCUGUGACCACAAGUUUACCAGUUACAAUAAACUUCCAAAUCAAUUUGCCUUUCAGCACAUACAUGUUGAAGUAUCCUCUCUUCAGUUCAUGCUAAGCUCCAAUUUAAAAUCUGGCAUGUAAACUGA